This 497-nucleotide ribosomal RNA is filed under the name uncultured bacterium. RNAcentral's name for it is "partial 16S ribosomal RNA". It matches the Rfam family "Bacterial small subunit ribosomal RNA", at positions 28 to 507 of the family's 1533-position model. The record is from RNAcentral.
GAUGAACGCUGGCGGCGUGCCUAAUACAUGCAAGUCGAGCGAACAGACGAGGAGCUUGCUCCUCUGACGUUAGCGGCGGACGGGUGAGUAACACGUGGAUAACCUACCUAUAAGACUGGGAUAACUUCGGGAAACCGGAGCUAAUACCGGAUAAUAUAUUGAACCGCAUGGUUCAAUAGUGAAAGACGGUUUUGCUGUCACUUAUAGAUGGAUCCGCGCCGCAUUAGCUAGUUGGUAAGGUAACGGCUUACCAAGGCAACGAUGCGUAGCCGACCUGAGAGGGUGAUCGGCCACACUGGAACUGAGACACGGUCCAGACUCCUACGGGAGGCAGCAGUAGGGAAUCUUCCGCAAUGGGAGAAAGCUUGACGGAGCAACGACGCGUGAGUGAUGAAGGUCUUCGGAUCGUAAAACUCUGUUAUUAGGGAAGAACAAAUGUGUAAGUAACUAUGCACGUCUUGACGGUACCUAAUCAGAGAGCCACGGCUAACUACGUG